AGAGUUUGAUCCUGGCUCAGAAUCAACGCUGGCGGCGCGCUUAACACAUGCAAGUCGCACGAGAAAGUGGGAAACCAUGAGUACAGUGGCGUACGGGUGAGUAACACGUGGGUAAUCUACCUCUGAGUGGGGAAUAACCCUGGGAAACCGGGGCUAAUACCGCAUAAUCUCGAGAGAGGAGAGCAGCAAUGCGCUGAGAGAGGAGCCCGCGGCCGAUUAGCUAGUUGGUAGGGUAAGAGCCUACCAAGGCAGAGAUCGGUAGCCGGCCUGAGAGGGCACACGGCCACACUGGCACUGAAACACGGGCCAGACUCCUACGGGAGGCAGCAGUGGGGAAUCUUGCACAAUGGGGGAAACCCUGAUGCAGCGACGCCGCGUGAGCGAUGAAGCCCUUCGGGGUGUAAAGCUCUUUCGUCAGGGAAGAUGAUGACGGUACCUGGAGAAGCAGCUGCGGCUAACUACGUGCCAGCAGCCGCGGUAAUACGUAGGCAGCGAGCGUUGUUCGGAGUUACUGGGCGUAAAGGGUGUGUAGGCGGUUCUUUAAGUUUGGUGUGAAAUCUCCCGGCUCAACCGGGAGGGUGCGCCGAAUACUGAGGGACUUGGAGUGCGGGAGAGGAAAGUGGAAUUCCUGGUGUAGCGGUGAAAUGCGUAGAUAUCAGGAGGAACACCGGUGGUGUAGACGGCUUUCUGGACCGUAACUGACGCUGAGACACGAAAGCGUGGGUAGCAAACAGGAUUAGAUACCCUGGUAGUCCACGCCCUAAACGAUGCAUAUUUGGUGUGGGUCAUUCAGUUGAUCCGUGCCGGAGCUAACGCGUUAAAUAUGCCGCCUGGGGAGUACAGUCGCAAGGCUGAAACUCAAAGGAAUUGACGGGGCCCGCACAAGCGGUGGAGCAUGUGGUUCAAUUCGACGCAACGCGAAGAA
Molecule: ribosomal RNA, 925 nt
Filed under: uncultured bacterium
Lineage: Bacteria
Description: bacterial SSU rRNA
Rfam family: Bacterial small subunit ribosomal RNA
Source: RNAcentral